RNAcentral lists this ribosomal RNA (404 nucleotides) under uncultured bacterium. Its description in RNAcentral is "bacterial SSU rRNA". It matches the Rfam family "Bacterial small subunit ribosomal RNA", at positions 30 to 434 of the family's 1533-position model. The record is from RNAcentral.
AUUGAACGCUGGCGGCAUGCCUUACACAUGCAAGUCGAACGGCAGCACGGGAGCAAUCCUGGUGGCGAGUGGCGAACGGGUGAGUAAUAUAUCGGAACGUGCCCAGUCGUGGGGAUAACGUAGCGAAAGCUACGCUAAUACCGCAUACGAUCUAUGGAUGAAAGCGGGGGGAUCGCAAGACCUCGCGCGAUUGGAGCGGCCGAUAUCAGAUUAGGUAGUUGGUGAGGUAAAGGCUCACCAAGCCGACGAUCUGUAGCUGGUCUGAGAGGACGACCAGCCACACUGGGACUGAGACACGGCCCAGACUCCUACGGGAGGCAGCAUGGGGAAUUUUGGACAAUGGGCGCAAGCCUGAUCCAGCAAUGCCGCGUGCAGGAUGAAGGCCUUCGGGUUCGGUAAACGUA